CCUACGGGAGGCAGCAGUAGGGAAUCUUCCACAAUGGGCGAAAGCCUGAUGGAGCAACGCCGCGUGGGUGAAGAAGGUCUUCGGAUCGUAAAACCCUGUUGUUAGAGAAGAAAGUGCGUGAGAGUAACUGUUCACGUGUCGACGGUAUCUAACCAGAAAGCCACGGCUAACUACGUGCCAGCAGCCGCGGUAAUACGUAGGUGGCAAGCGUUAUCCGGAUUUAUUGGGCGUAAAGGGAACGCAGGCGGUCUUUUAAGUCUGAUGUGAAAGCCUUCGGCUUAACCGGAGUAGUGCAUUGGAAACUGGGAGACUUGAGUGCAGAAGCGGAGAGUGGAACUCCAUGUGUAGCGGUGAAAUGCGUAGAUAUAUGGAAGAACACCAGUGGCGAAAGCGGCUCUCUGGUCUGUAACUGACGCUGAGGUUCGAAAGCGUGGGUAGCAAACAGGAUUAGAUACCCCAGUAGUC
Molecule: ribosomal RNA, 465 nt
Filed under: uncultured bacterium
Lineage: Bacteria
Description: partial 16S ribosomal RNA
Rfam family: Bacterial small subunit ribosomal RNA
Source: RNAcentral